RNAcentral lists this ribosomal RNA (370 nucleotides) under uncultured bacterium. Its description in RNAcentral is "bacterial SSU rRNA". It matches the Rfam family "Bacterial small subunit ribosomal RNA", at positions 527 to 896 of the family's 1533-position model. The record is from RNAcentral.
GAAGGGCGCUAGCGUUUUUCGGAUUUACUGGGCGUAAAGCGCGUGUAGGCGGUUCCAUAAGUCGGGGGUGAUAUCCCGGAGCUCAACUCGGGAACCGCGUUCAAAACUGGCGACCUAGAUCCAAGUAGAGGCAAGUGGAAUUGCGAGUGUAGAGGUGAAAUUCGUAGAUAUUCGCAGGAACACCAGUGGAGAAGGCGAUCCUGCUGGACUCGUGGUGACGCUGAGGCGCGAAAGCGUGGGGAGCAAACAGGAUUAGAUACCGUGGUAGUCCACGCUGUAAACGAUGAGAGCUAGUUGUCGGCAAUCUUCCGUCUCGGUGACGCAGCUAACGCAUUAAGCUCUCCGCCUGGGGAGUACGGUCGCAAGGUUG